UACAGAGGGUGCAAGCGUUGUUCGGAAUUAUUGGGCGUAAAGGGCGCGUAGGCGGUGCGGUAAGUCUGUAGUGAAAUCUCUGGGCUCAACUCAGAGUCUGCUGCAGAAACUGCCGUGCUUGAGUGUGGGAGAGGUGAGUGGAAUUCCCGGUGUAGCGGUGAAAUGCGUAGAUAUCUGGAGGAACACCGGUGGCGAAGGCGGCAUCCUGGACCGACACUGACGCUGAGGAGCGAAAGCCAGGGGAGCAAACGGG
RNAcentral lists this ribosomal RNA (253 nucleotides) under uncultured bacterium. RNAcentral describes it as "partial 16S ribosomal RNA". It matches the Rfam family "Bacterial small subunit ribosomal RNA", at positions 524 to 776 of the family's 1533-position model. The record is from RNAcentral.